UGAAGACAAAACAAAAGAGUACUUAAUAGGCCCAGCGAACUAUUGAGUGGAUCAAAAUAAUUUGGUAAAAAUACAAAUUCCAGAAGCUUUACUCAUUAUGACUAUAGUAUCACCAUAUUCUUACACCACUAAAGCACACACAGGUAGAAACAUCAAUGAAAGCAAGUAUCGGAAGCUCUCAAAGGUGGGUUCUCUCUACUGAUCCUUCCCAUUGCUGAAUCUUGAAAUUAUUAAUUUCGUGUGAUAACUAAUAUUUGCCUAUUUUAAUUUUGACUCGGAAUUUAAAAUAAGUAUAUGCUCCCUUAGAAUUUAAGGAAGUAUUAAAAAAUCUUUUAAAUCUUGGGAUCUUAAAUAAGAUAUAUGAGUUUUCUAGCUAAAAAAUUCUUGUCAGUUCACGAAAUUACAAAACUAGGGAGAUUUUUUAAUUUUCACUGUUUUUUUGUACAAAUUUUAACGUCCAUGUUCCUAGAAUUAUUAACUACACUUAUUAAAGGUCAUUGAAAAUCACUUUCACUGAGGGCCAACUUAUCAAAAAGACACAGAGGCAUUUUCACUUAUUUGUGCCUUUGUUAAGUUCAUCCUUGAAUCAAAUGUUGAAAUUUGUGAAUUUUCCUAAUCUAGAAGCAAUCGUACGACGGAGUAAGAAAUUAAAUCAUCCGCCAAUAUUAUCUUUCAUCUGCUUAUUGUGGCCGGAAUAACCUUUUAAAAUAUUUUCCCCAAAACUUAAGGUGUUUUUCAUGCCUUUAUUGAGGUAAAGGAAAUAUGGGUUCAAUUGUGCCAACAACGUCUACAUAGAAAUAUGUUACGGCGUAAUAGAUAUACGCAAAUAUCACCAGAAAAAAAACAAUCACUUUUGCUGCAACAAGAAGCUAGAAGAUCCGAAUCAAAAAGGCGUCGACUUAUACAACAGAAAAAUUGUACAAUGUCUUUUUCACUCCUACAUCACCUACCAACGGAGGACAUGCUUCUUCGAUUUCAACUACACAAACAAUUGCCUGCACCCCCAUCUUCGAAGUAGGAUCAACAUCACAUAGUUCUGAAGCAACAGAAAAGUAUUCAAAUGAAUCAACUGCUUCAAAUAGAGAUCUAGUGAGUGUGGAAGGUAAUCGAUCCUAACAACUGGUAUCAGAGAUUAGGGGAUUCACACGAUCACUGAAGAUGGAAGGAUCGAAGCUUGAAAUCGAGAAGUUUGAUGGAUCCGAUUUUGGUUUCUGGAAGAUGUAGAUCGAAGACUAUCUAUACCAGAAAGAUCUUCACGAACCUUUGAGUGGGGUGAAGCCGGAAUCCAUGAAAGAGGAGGAGUGGAAGCUCAAGGAUCGGCAGGCUCUAGGGCAGAUCCGAUUGAAUUUGUCAAGAAAUGUGGCGUUCAACAUCGCCAAGGAGAAGACUACGUCAGAUCUGUUAAAGGCGCUAUCAAAUAUGUACGAACUGAUCAUAUAAACGAGUUCAAUAUGAUUGUUAGUCAACUGUGUUCUGUUGAUAUUAAUUUUGAAUAUGAAAUUAAAGCAUUGAUUUUGAUGUCAUCUCUACCCGAGUCUUGGGAUACUAUUGUUGCUGCGAUUAGUAGUUCCCGUGGAUCUAAGAAGUUGAAGUUUGAUGAAAUCCGAGAUGUUGUUCUUAGCGAAAGCAAUUGCAAAUGAGAAAUUGGGAGUCAUCUGGUAAUGCUCUUAGCAUUGACCGAAGGGGAAGAGACCAAUCAACGGGUCAGAAUACACAUGACAGAUCAAAAUCGAAGAAUCGUGGAAAACCUCCAAAACCCAACGUGACAUGUUGGAAUUGCCAAGGGAUCUUUGUAAAUAGUUAUACCAUAUAGUUGGUGAUUUAGUAUCAAGAGUUAUCGAUGAAACUCUGAAACAUCAGUAGCAGCAGAUAUUGCCAAGGGGUCUUUGUAAAUACAUGGAUGUGUGAUACAAGUGGAUGUGCAUAUAUACUCCGGACAGUGUUCUUAAACGAACCAAGCUGUGUAAUAGAAUAUGACUUGCACAAAUUUUUUUUUACUGUGAAGAAAACAAAUGUAUUGAAUUGACGAGUUUUUCCUUUUUCUUAGCUCUUUUGAAGUGUGCGAUUUCUUUCUCUCCUGCUGUCUUAUUGUAAUCAGAGCCAUUUGCUUUACCAAUUGCCUGUGUUACUUUCUUUAUCUGUAAUAUAAGUUUCAAAAUUUGAAUUUUUUA
Molecule: long non-coding RNA, 2171 nt
Organism: Capsicum annuum
Lineage: Eukaryota; Viridiplantae; Streptophyta; Magnoliopsida; Solanales; Solanaceae
Exons: 4
Source: RefSeq, a predicted model, not a curated record